Molecule: ribosomal RNA, 397 nt
Filed under: uncultured bacterium
Lineage: Bacteria
Description: bacterial SSU rRNA
Rfam family: Bacterial small subunit ribosomal RNA
Source: RNAcentral
UAUUGCACAAUGGGGGACACCCUGAUGAAGCGACGCCGCGUGAGCGAAGAAGUAUUUCGGUAUGUAAAGCUCUAUCAGCAGGGAAGAUAAUGACGGUACCUGACUAAGAAGCACCGGCUAAAUACGUGCCAGCAGCCGCGGUAAUACGUAUGGUGCAAGCGUUAUCCGGAUUUACUGGGUGUAAAGGAAGCGCAGGCGGUGCGGCAAGUCUGAUGUGAAAGCCCGGGGCUCAACCCCGGUACUGCAUUGGAAGCUGUCGUACUAGAGUGUCGGAGGGGUAAGCGGAAUUCCUAGUGUAGCGGUGAAAUGCGUAGAUAUUAGGAGGAACACCAGUGGCGAAGGCGGCUUACUGGACGAUAACUGACGCUGAGGCUCGAAAGCGUGGGGAGCAAACAGG